Molecule: ribosomal RNA, 638 nt
Filed under: Dorea longicatena
Lineage: Bacteria; Bacillati; Bacillota; Clostridia; Lachnospirales; Lachnospiraceae
Description: bacterial LSU rRNA
Rfam family: Bacterial large subunit ribosomal RNA
Source: RNAcentral
CGGAAUGAGUAGCGAGAUGGAGGUGGGAAUCCUCCAGGCCGAAUAUCCAAGGUUUCCAGGGUAAAGCUGAUCUGCCCUGGGUAAGUCGGGGCCUAAGGCGAGGCUGGGAAGCGUAGUCGAUGGACAACAGGUUGAGAUUCCUGUACCAUGUAUCAUCAGAACUGUGGGGACACAGAAGGACAGCACAUCCCGGGAAUGGGAAUACCGGGGCAAGCGGGGUAGGAGUACGGCUGGCAAAUCCGCCGUACAAUCCGAAUACGUGACGCGGAGCGAACUGAAGUAGUGAAGUGUGUGAUUCCAGCUGUCAAGAAAAGCCGCUAUUGUGUGAUACACGCCCGUACCGUAAACCGACACAGGUGGAUGAGGAGAGAAUCCUAAGGCCGGCGGGAGAAGCAUUGUUAAGGAACUCGGCAAAAUGACCCCGUAACUUCGGGAGAAGGGGUGCCACAGAGAUGUGGCCGCAGAGAAUAGGCUCAAGCAACUGUUUAGCAAAAACACAGGUCUAUGCAAAACCGUAAGGUGAGGUAUAUGGGCUGACGCCUGCCCGGUGCUGGAAGGUUAAGAGGAGAGGUCAGCGGAAACGCGAAGCUUUGAAUUUAAGCCCCAGUAAACGGCGGCCGUAACUAUAACGGUCCUAA